AUUGAACGCUGGCGGCAUGCCUUACACAUGCAAGUCGAACGGCAGCACGGGAGCAAUCCUGGUGGCGAGUGGCGAACGGGUGAGUAAUAUAUCGGAACGUGCCCAGUCGUGGGGGAUAACGCAGCGAAAGCUGUGCUAAUACCGCAUACGAUCUACGGAUGAAAGCGGGGGAUCGCAAGACCUCGCGCGAUUGGAGCGGCCGAUAUCAGAUUAGCUAGUUGGUGAGGUAAAGGCUCACCAAGGCGACGAUCUGUAGCUGGUCUGAGAGGACGACCAGCCACACUGGAACUGAGACACGGUCCAGACUCCUACGGGAGGCAGCAGUGGGGAAUUUUGGACAAUGGGCGCAAGCCUGAUCCAGCAAUGCCGCGUGCAGGAUGGAGGCCUUCGGGUUGUAAACUGCUUUUGUACGGAGCGAAACGGUCUUUCCUAAUACGAGAGGCUAAUGACGGUACCGUAAGAAUAAGCACCGGCUAACUACGUGCCAGCCGCCGCGGUAA
RNAcentral lists this ribosomal RNA (500 nucleotides) under uncultured bacterium. RNAcentral's name for it is "partial 16S ribosomal RNA". It matches the Rfam family "Bacterial small subunit ribosomal RNA", at positions 30 to 523 of the family's 1533-position model. The record is from RNAcentral.